UUAAGCUUUGGUCAUACCAAGUUUUUUUAAGAUUUGUCAACUCUUUCUAUCCUAUUAGGUCCGAGACCACAAUUGUCGUCCCUUGUUUUUCGUUGUUCACGAAUAUAGUCCCUAGUGUUGACAGUGGGUUACCCGGUACUUGCCAUUAAUUUUUAUACCCCUUCCAAAUUUAUUUCUCCAUGUUUAUUAGGGCCCCGCCUUUAGACGGGUACUCUAUAGUGAUCAGUCUGUCUGUCCGUCCAUCCGUCCAUCCGUCCGUCCGUCCGUAACACUUUUGUGUCCGCUCCAUAUCUAGAGAACCAUUAUGAUUUCAUACUUUAUACUUUACAUGUUUAUUAACCACCAC
RNAcentral lists this long non-coding RNA (346 nucleotides) under Mytilus galloprovincialis (Mediterranean mussel). Lineage: Eukaryota; Metazoa; Mollusca; Bivalvia; Mytilida; Mytilidae. The record is from RNAcentral.